AAGGCUGCUCGGCCCGCGCUGC
RNAcentral lists this microRNA (22 nucleotides) under Gallus gallus (chicken). RNAcentral describes it as "gga-miR-6556-5p". The record is from miRBase by way of RNAcentral. Lineage: Eukaryota; Metazoa; Chordata; Aves; Galliformes; Phasianidae.